Molecule: ribosomal RNA, 449 nt
Filed under: uncultured bacterium
Lineage: Bacteria
Description: partial 16S ribosomal RNA
Rfam family: Bacterial small subunit ribosomal RNA
Source: RNAcentral
AAUGAACGCUGGCGGCAGGCCUAACACAUGCAAGUCGAACGGAUCCUUCGGGAUUAGUGGCGGACGGGUGAGUAGCGCGUGGGAACAUACCCUUUGGUACGGAAUAGCCUCGGGAAACUGGGAGUAAUACCGUAUGUGGUCGAGAGACGAAAGAUUUAUCGCCAAGGGAUUGGCCCGCGUUGGAUUAGGUAGUUGGUGGGGUAAUGGCCUACCAAGCCGACGAUCCAUAGCUGGUUUGAGAGGAUGAUCAGCCACACUGGGACUGAGACACGGCCCAGACCCCUACGGGAGGCAGCAGUGGGGAAUCUUAGACAAUGGGGGAAACCCUGAUCUAGCCAUGCCGCGUGAUCGAUGAAGGCCUUAGGGUUGUAAAGAUCUUUCAGGUGGGAAGAUAAUGACUGUACCACCAGAAGAAGCCCCGGCUAACUCCGUGCCAGCCGCCGCCGCGG